RNAcentral lists this ribosomal RNA (253 nucleotides) under uncultured bacterium. RNAcentral describes it as "partial 16S ribosomal RNA". It matches the Rfam family "Bacterial small subunit ribosomal RNA", at positions 524 to 776 of the family's 1533-position model. The record is from RNAcentral.
UACGGAGGGUGCAAGCGUUGUCCGGAAUUACUGGGCGUAAAGCGCGCGCAGGCGGUCCUUCAAGUCAGAGGUGAAAGCCCAGAGCUCAACUCUGGAACGGCCUUUGAGACUAGAGGACUUGGGUACGGGAGAGGUGAGUGGAAUUCCGAGUGUAGAGGUGAAAUUCGUAGAUAUUCGGAAGAACACCAGUGGCGAAGGCGGCUCACUGGCCCGUUACCGACGCUCAGGCGCGACAGCGUGGGGAGCAAACAGG